AAAUACAGUUGUAGAUCAAAUAUUUCUCGUCCUGGCUAGCUAGUGCUGUAUCGGUAUCGGGGUAUGAUCAGGUGGCACAGUGCGAGCAUACUUGCAGCGAGUCUUUUCAAAACGUGCUACUGCUAAACUGCAUUCCGUGUUACUGAUAAGUCUCGAUCAAUAGCAACACAUUUCAUUCUCUCACACUACUGAUAAGUCUGAAUCAAUAGCGUGGUUUAUUCUCCCGCGCUACUGGUAAGUAGCAGUAGCGAGUUUUUCUUACACGCGCUACUGCUAAAUCUUCACCUAUAGGCUUUUCCCUACUAGUGACAGGAUAAGGGUCGCCGAGGCCUAUCUCACGGAGUAAACGACGGCGGUGGAGCCGGCUGAUGCGGCGGCGCUGGCAGCCACAGAGGAGGAAGCCAUAUGUGCCCGUACUUGAAGAACAUAAGCGGAGAAAAACACGCGCCCUCGCCCGCGAGCAGAAUCAGGCGGUCCGUUUAAUACCCCGACUACCAUCGAAGGAGGUGGAGGAGGUGAGUAACGGCACGGACAGCUCCGACGACGAGCAGACCCGUCUCGAUCUGUAUUGCGUCUCCGACCGGUCCUGCGAGAAGGACGACAAGGACUCUGGGAAAGGUAAGGACACGCGUGGUUAGUGUCCAUCAUAGCCGAACAUGUCAAAUUUUGGUAGUCUGAUGGCAUGUUAGUAGUUAGAGAGUAGUGAGACGAUGCGUAUAAAUGCAUCGACGUAGUUGCAUGGUUUGUAUGAACUUGAGAUAUAAGAUUUGAGGUGUCUGGUUAUAGAAUGCAUUAUUUGAGACGUGAUCGGUAAGUGUCCGCGGACGCGUUUGUAGGCGUUUGAGAGGCUGGAUUUGCAUGUUCCGACUGUAUAUGCUUUAAAAGUACUAUACUAUACAAGCUAAUAAAUAUUAG
RNAcentral lists this long non-coding RNA (915 nucleotides) under Hordeum vulgare. RNAcentral describes it as "long non-coding RNA (HVUL_LNC017202)". The record is from RNAcentral. Lineage: Eukaryota; Viridiplantae; Streptophyta; Magnoliopsida; Poales; Poaceae.